UCGUGAUGAGAUCAUGAUAAUGAGAUCGAUUCGCCUUUAAACACAUAUUCUAAAUAAUCCCGGUCAUAGGUUACUUGAGAGGGAUAUCGAAAUAAUCGGACAGAUUGGUAUGUUGUAUACCCAUCCAUAUGAUUGAUGCAGUCGGUCUCAUAGUUGCUCAUGUGGGGACACUAGGGAUACAAUACAAGUGCUCAUUGGGGAAUGAGUUCAUUGAUUGAUCCGCUUACGGAAUGUUGGAUGGUUGAU
This 246-nucleotide long non-coding RNA is filed under the name Musa acuminata (dwarf banana). RNAcentral's name for it is "long non-coding RNA (MACU_LNC007687)". Lineage: Eukaryota; Viridiplantae; Streptophyta; Magnoliopsida; Zingiberales; Musaceae. The record is from RNAcentral.